Long non-coding RNA from Onychostoma macrolepis, 285 nucleotides. RefSeq lists it as uncharacterized. The transcript has 3 exons. Lineage: Eukaryota; Metazoa; Chordata; Actinopteri; Cypriniformes; Cyprinidae. The record is from RefSeq and is a predicted model, not a curated record.
GGACGUUGGGAUGUGCUCGCUCAUCCCGAGAGUAAAAACCUCCUUUACUUCUUCAUGGUCUUCCUCUUGGUAGCGGCGAAUCUGCACCUCAGCCAUGACCUUCAAAUCAAGCAUGACAUUAGAAACAAUUACACUUUUGAGGGGAAGCACUAUCGCCAUCCACUGGAGAGGAGGAAAAGUGCGAUGCAUUUGGUGGACAAGGCAAAAUUGAUAUCUCCAGCAAACAGGGUAAUAAGCAAAAUUACAGUGAAUCCGGUGAGCAGCCCAGCAUUUUGGAUCAGGAAG